AGCUUUGCGCAGUGGCAGUAUCGUAGCCAAUGAGGUUUAUCCGAGGCGUGAUUAUUGCUAAUUGAAAACUCACCUCGAAUUGG
RNAcentral lists this small nuclear RNA (83 nucleotides) under Neogale vison (American mink). RNAcentral's name for it is "Neovison vison (American mink) U4 spliceosomal RNA (ENSNVIG00000022018.1)". It matches the Rfam family "U4 spliceosomal RNA". From Rfam's summary of the family: U4 small nuclear RNA (U4 snRNA) is a component of the major U2-dependent spliceosome. The record is from RNAcentral. Lineage: Eukaryota; Metazoa; Chordata; Mammalia; Carnivora; Mustelidae.